GCUUAUGGCGGCUUUGCGUGGGGCACCUUCGGGUGCGCCGGUUUUGCGAGCUCACCGGUCUGCUAACCCGCGUCAAAGCUGCCACCCUU
Molecule: non-coding RNA, 89 nt
Filed under: Pseudomonas sp. StFLB209
Lineage: Bacteria; Pseudomonadati; Pseudomonadota; Gammaproteobacteria; Pseudomonadales; Pseudomonadaceae
Source: RNAcentral